UUCGAGACUAAUGUUGGU
Molecule: microRNA, 18 nt
Filed under: Tribolium castaneum (red flour beetle)
Lineage: Eukaryota; Metazoa; Arthropoda; Insecta; Coleoptera; Tenebrionidae
Description: tca-miR-3850-3p
Source: miRBase by way of RNAcentral